UACGUAGGGGGCAAGCGUUGUCCGGAUUUAUUGGGCGUAAAGAGCGUGUAGGCGGCCAUGUAGGUCCGGUGUGAAAACUCGAGGCUUAACCUCGAGAUGUCAUCGGAAACCAUUUGGCUAGAGUCCGGAAGAGGAGAGUGGAAUUCCUGGUGUAGCGGUGAAAUGCGCAGAUUUCAGGAAGAACACCAAUGGCGAAAGCAGCUCUCUGGGACGGUACUGACGCUGAGACGCGAAAGCGUGGGGAGCGAACAGG
This 253-nucleotide ribosomal RNA is filed under the name uncultured bacterium. RNAcentral describes it as "partial 16S ribosomal RNA". It matches the Rfam family "Bacterial small subunit ribosomal RNA", at positions 524 to 776 of the family's 1533-position model. The record is from RNAcentral.